Erigeron canadensis is the source of this 250-nucleotide long non-coding RNA. RefSeq lists it as uncharacterized. Lineage: Eukaryota; Viridiplantae; Streptophyta; Magnoliopsida; Asterales; Asteraceae. The transcript has 3 exons. The record is from RefSeq and is a predicted model, not a curated record.
GUUCGACGCCGGAUUAUGAUAUGGAGGAAGGAAAGAUUGUUGAAGAUGAUGCUGAAUCUGGUGAAAUCAAAAUGUUAUCAUCUAUUUUCCAGGCCAAAGUUUAAAAAUUUAGGCGUAUCUUGAAGACUACUACUACCGCUGAUGAUUUCCAACUGAUUUGAAACACAUGGCGAUAGACUAGUGUCUAAUCAUAGUCUUGGUUCCUUUUUGAAUGACGAGGACCAUGAAAAGGAUGUGUCUAAGAUACAUG